UGCAGACCCGCGAACACAGCCGAAGACCCGCGAACACAGCCGAAGACCCGCGAAAACAGCCGAAGACCCGCGAAAACAGCCAAAGACCCGCGAACACAGCCUAAGACCCGCGAACACAACCGCAGACCCGCGAAAACAGCCGCAUACCCGCGAACACAACCGCAGACCCGCGAACACAGCCGCAUACCCGCGAACACAGCCGAAGACCCGCGAAAACAGCCGAAGACCCGCGAACACAGCCGAAGACCCGCGAACACAACCGCAUACCCGCGAACACAGCCGAAGACCCGCGAACACAACCGCAAGAUGGAGCCGAAUGGAGAGAGAGACAGGGAGGAGAAGUGACGGAAGAACAGCGGAUACUAAUCGCUUGGUCAUCUGCUGUGGACUUCUCAGGACGAUUUUUAUAACCUGGAAUAUUUUUUUAUAAGGAACCCUUUUGCUUUUUGUGAUCUGUGGACCGUUACAGACUAAAGGAGGACAACUAAGGGAGGAAUGGAGGGAGAAUCGGAAGUUCAACAGACGGUGUUCCUUCACAACUUGGUCCUUCGAGCCGGAUCUCAACAACCUCUCCUACUGUCCAGAACAGGACCUGAAACGUGCACGGGGGAGUCUGGGACUCCUGAACUAAAGCCCUCCAGCAUAGAAAAUUGCUGUUAAAAAGAGGCCAGGAUCUACUGGACUGUGGGAAGGUGACGAGAUCCACAAACAGAGAGAAACCAGGACGUCUGAAUUAUAAGUUCCUUCACCUGUCUGACUGAGCCGCUGCUAUGAUGAUGAGUGAUGUCAUAUGGAAGAGACGGACACACCUACAGCCUCCACCUGAUCUCAGAAUGACCUCCGUGACCCAGUCUCAACACAAAGGGCAA
Molecule: long non-coding RNA, 869 nt
Organism: Seriola aureovittata
Lineage: Eukaryota; Metazoa; Chordata; Actinopteri; Carangiformes; Carangidae
Exons: 3
Source: RefSeq, a predicted model, not a curated record